GAGAUCACAAUGGAUUUUCAUCGUAUAUAAUUACAUUGAACAAUUACAAGGUAUUAAUACAUCUUUUCUAGUCUAGAAGGUAAAUGCAAUUAGAUGUGACUAUCCAAGAAUCAAAACAUAUUUCAAAUUAAGCUAAAGAAGUAAUAAUAUAAGUAAGAAAGUAGACAAAAAAUGUAGAGAGAUAAGACAGAAGAGUUUUCUUAUUCUUCCUAGUAUAUUCAAGUAUUUCUCAAAUCUUCAAGUGCAAAACAUAAUCCUCAAAACCUCUAUUUAUAUUGUUACAUAAAGACAUAUAAAGAGAUAACAAUAAACAUGGUAUUAAUUCUUGAGAAUGUGGGGAAGGUUAAGGGGUGUGGAAGAUAAAAGAGGAGGUGGUGGAGGUGUGAGUUUAAUACACAUAAUGGUGGAAUUACAUCUUGAAAUUAUGGAUAUCUACAUUAAUAUAACAUAUUUACAAUAAAAGAUUAAUUAUUCAACAAUUAUAUAAAUAUUAAUUACAUUAAAAAUGAGGAGAAAAACUAACAAAUGCCAAAAAAAAGAAAAAUAGGAAUGAAGGCUAUAGAUAGUAAUAAUAAUUGUUAUUUUAUUUUUUAUAUAAUAAGAAAAUACCCACGAGGCAAAAAAAA
Molecule: long non-coding RNA, 626 nt
Filed under: Solanum tuberosum (potato)
Lineage: Eukaryota; Viridiplantae; Streptophyta; Magnoliopsida; Solanales; Solanaceae
Description: long non-coding RNA (STUB_LNC000484)
Source: RNAcentral